Molecule: long non-coding RNA, 144 nt
Organism: Gavialis gangeticus (Gharial)
Lineage: Eukaryota; Metazoa; Chordata; Crocodylia; Gavialidae
Exons: 3
Source: RefSeq, a predicted model, not a curated record
CAUCUGGCCACUCGUCACCCUGCCCCCUCGCUGCCGAAGCCACCACUGGCUUCCUUGCAUCCGGGGGUGGGGCCUCGCACAGGCUGAUUUGCCCUGGGCCCCACACCCUGCACAGGUCAUCUCUGGCGCUUGAGACAAAACCCA